Molecule: ribosomal RNA, 231 nt
Filed under: uncultured bacterium
Lineage: Bacteria
Description: partial 16S ribosomal RNA
Rfam family: Bacterial small subunit ribosomal RNA
Source: RNAcentral
CAAUACGGAGUGGCAGACGGGUGAGUAACACGUGGGAACGUACCCUUCGGUUCGGAAUAACUCAGGGAAACUUGAGCUAAUACCGGAUACGUCCGAGAGGAGAAAGAUUCAUCGCCGAAGGAUCGGCCCGCGUCUGAUUAGCUUGUUGGUGAGGUAACGGCUCACCAAGGCGACGAUCGGUAGCUGGUCUGAGAGGAUGGUCAGCCACACUGGGACUGAGAAACGGCCCAG